UACGGAAGGCAGCAGUGGGGAAUAUUGCACAAUGGGCGCAAGCCUGAUGCAGCCAUGCCGCGUGUAUGAAGAAGGCCUUCGGGUUGUAAAGUACUUUUCAGUCGUGAGGAAGGUGUUAAGGUUAAUAACCUUAGCAAUUGACGUUAGCGACAGAAGAAGCACCGGCUAACUCCGUGCCAGCAGCCGCGGUAAUACGGAGGGUGCGAGCGUUAAUCGGAAUUACUGGGCGUAAAGGGCACGCAGGCGGUUAAUUAAGUUGGAUGUGAAAUCCCCGGGCUUAACCUGGGAAUGGCAUUCAAGACUGGUUAGCUAGAGUCUUGUAGAGGGGGUAGAAUUCCAUGUGUAGCGGUGAAAUGCGUAGAGAUGUGGAGGAAUACCGGUGGCGAAGGCGGCCCCUGGACAAAGGCUGACGCUCAUGUGCGAAAGCGUGGGGAGCAAACGAGGAUUAGA
Molecule: ribosomal RNA, 450 nt
Filed under: uncultured bacterium
Lineage: Bacteria
Description: bacterial SSU rRNA
Rfam family: Bacterial small subunit ribosomal RNA
Source: RNAcentral